CAUGUCUUUAUGAUGUUAAUAUAAAGUCUGCCCUCCCCUCUGAUAUUAAAUUUAAAGGCCGCGGUAUCUUGACCGUGCGAAGGUAGCAUAAUGAUUUGUUCUUUAAUUGGGGACUAGAAUGAAAGGUUGCACGAGAAGUUAGCUGUCUCUGGUGUAAAUAUUGAAAUUAACUUUUAAGUGAAAAGGCUUAAAUAAGCUAAGGGGACGAUAAGACCCUAUAAAUCUUUACAUUGGCGCUUUAUUUUUGAGCAUUUAAGUGAAGAUUUGAAGGCAAAGUUUGCUAGUGUUUUGUUGGGGCGACAGGAGUAUAAAGGUAACUGCUUUGAAAAUAAAAUUAAAUAUAUUUAAUUUGAAAGAAAGAGAUCCUUCUAUGAGGAUAGCAGAACAAGUUACUUUAGGGAUAACAGCGUAAUUUCUUUUGAGAGUUCUUAUCGAAAAAGAAGAUUGCGACCUCGAUGUUGAAUUAAGGUUCCUCCACGGGGGAGAAGUUGUGAGAGGAGGUCUGUUCGACCUUUAAAUCUUUACGUGAUCUGAG
Molecule: ribosomal RNA, 535 nt
Filed under: Linuparus trigonus
Lineage: Eukaryota; Metazoa; Arthropoda; Malacostraca; Decapoda; Palinuridae
Description: partial small subunit ribosomal RNA
Rfam family: Bacterial large subunit ribosomal RNA
Source: RNAcentral